This 17696-nucleotide long non-coding RNA is filed under the name Olea europaea subsp. europaea. The record is from RNAcentral. Lineage: Eukaryota; Viridiplantae; Streptophyta; Magnoliopsida; Lamiales; Oleaceae.
GGAAAUCAUAAUGGCAAGUUAAUACAUGCAAAAUAUUACAUAGAUAGGAUAAAUCGUGGGAUCUUACUCAAAUUAAUGCCCCUUCAGGUUUUUGAAGAUUUCAAGUUUUUCUUGGAGGUUCAAAAGUCGGCCAGCAAUGUUUGGCAGGUUCUUGGGAAAAUUUAAAUUGUUAGUUUUUAUGAAUCUCAAAUUUCUUGAAGGUUGAAGAACAGCCAGCAACAUAUUUUCUUGAAGUUUCGGGCAGAUUCAAAAGGGUUGUAAACCGGCAAGAAAAGGUGUUGCAAUGUCCUUUAAGGAAGACUCAAGGCAGCUUCUUGGUUCAAUCAAGUGCCAGCAGGUUGCUUUCUUGCAAUGGUUGAGCUGCUUCAUGGGAUUACUUGGUUCCAUGUUCAGUCAGCUAUAUUUAUACUGUGAGUUUGGCCUGUUUAUGUGCCAUUCUAGUCAGUUUGUGGGCAGAUUCUGGGUGUUUAUCUGGCCAGCUGGGUGUUAGCUCUUGAAGAUUUGAAAUGGUUCUUGAAGUUCAUAAGUAGGUAAAUUAACAGGGUGGCAAGUUUUGAUAAACCAUUGGAAUUUCAAGUUAUUGUUAGGUUGUUUUUUACUUAAUUGGGCAAUAAAUUUAAAUUUUGAAUUUUCUCAAACUGCCCUUGCAUUAAUGCAGCAAGGUUGAUUGUUUUAUGCAGUAUUUUGUUGCCCAAAUUGGCAAAAAACUUCAUAAAUGGGCAAUGUUCUUCCCGCCAGCAGGCUGCUUGGUUUGAUAGCUUUCAAUAUUUAAAACCUUUUUGAAGAUUUGGAAUCCGAUCAACAGGCAAGUAGCUUGUGUAAAGGUCCAGAUCGAAUUAGCUUGUGUAAAGGUCCAGAUCGAAUUAUUUUGUGGCUUUGUCGAUUUAAAAAUAAAUUGCAGAAACAAUAAAAGAACAACACGAUAUUUUUCGCUCCAAAGAGGGGCCCGGAUGUUCAGCCUUUCGACCUAAUCACCCGUUGAGCAUCUGUAGACAGAUAUAGCUCAAGAUCCACUAAGAAGAACUAAGAAAAUGUUAUAACAUGUACGAAGAAACAGAAAGUUUCUUCAAUAUAUCUCUCUAGCCUCUUUACUAUAGGAAAUCACAAAGAUCGGCCUCUACAAUGAAAGCACUCAACUCUCAUUUACACGACAUACAAAAGAUUCACCACUAAGAUGAAUUUUUGGAUUUACAAAGAAAGAAAUCAGCAAACCCUAACUACACUCAGAGAAAGGGAAAAGGCAGAGAGAGGGAGUCACGAAGCAUCUAGAGAAUGAUGGGCCAAACCAAGUUAAAUAUCUGGUCAACAAAGAAUCAAGAUACAAGGGAUGAGUAUUAGCCACGUGUACGGCUGAUACUCAAUCCUUAAGAGGUAGAUAAAAAACGUGUUUGCAUAAGGACGUUUUCUUUAAAAUCUUCAACAGUUGAAAACUAAUCAGCCCAAAUACAAAUGACCCGGUCCAUGCUAAAAAAUAUGGCCCAAAAGUUGUGAGGCAGCCCAAAAUUCAGUUUAACAUUCUCCACCUUGCUGAACAAUUCUUUUGGCGCUAGAUAGUGGAUCUUGUAAUCUACAUAUGAUUACUUCCUUUGCUCUAAGUUCCUUAAAAAAAAAAAUAAAAAAAUAAAAAAAUCAGUUAGUACAUAUACUACAAAGUUGUACUUGAAAAUCUGAAUAUCACUACUUCAAGUGAUAUUUAGGAUCUUCAAUCAAUUUUUAAAUUUAUUCAAAGGUAAUACCUUUGUCUCCAAAUAUGAAGGAUUAUAUUUUGAAAGUAUUUUUAUUAGUUUAAUCAUACUCUUUUCUGCCAUAUUUCUUACAUAAUGAUACUUUAUAUCUAAAUGCUUGGUCCUAUCAUGAUAUACAGGAUUCCUACUUAAAUGUAUGGCACUCUGAAUAUCAGUAUAAAUCCUUACAGAAUUAUUAAUGAAACCUAUUUCAUUUAAUAAGCCUCUUAGCCAAAUGUCUUCUUUCACAGCAUCACAUGCAGCUAUAUAUUCAGCUUUAGUAGAGGACAAGGCAAUCAAUUUUUGUAACUGUGACUUCCAACUAAUGCAGCCAUCACACAAAGUGAAAAUGUAUGCAAAUGUGGAUCUUCUUUUAUCUAAGUCACCAGCAAAAUCAGAAUCAGUGUAACCCUUUAAUAUUACCCCUUCUUUGCACCUUUUAAACACUAAAGCAAGAUCAGUUGAGCCGUUUAAAUAUCUCAACAUCCAUUUCAUGGCUAACCAAUGUGUCUCACUUGGAUUUGCCAUGAAUCUACGAAGUAUACUAAUUUCAUGUGCUAGAUCAGGUCUAGUGCAGACCAUAAGGUACAUUAUUGAUCCCAUAGCAUUAGCAUAAGGAAUUUUCUCCAUUCUUUUAAAUUCUUCAUCUAUUUUUGGUGAAAAUUCAUUUGAAAGUUUGAAAUGAUUUGCAAUGGUUAAAGUAGCAGGUUUGCACUCAAGCAUAGAAAAUUUUUCAAGAAUUUUCUUCACAUAAGAGUUUUGUUUCAAAAACAAGAUACAGUUAUGCCUAUCUCUUUCUAUUUCCAUUCCAAGUAUCCUUUUAGCUUGCCCUAAGUCUUUCAUCUCAAAUUCAGACUUCAAUUUUGACUUAAUAAUGUCAAUUUUAGAUUUAUCAUAAUAGGCAAGUAACAUAUCAUCAACAUAUAAUAGCAGAUAAAUGGAUUCAGGCCCUUCAGAGCCUUUAUAAAAUAGGCAGGUAUCAUAAUUGCUUUUUAAAAACCCCAAUGUCUGCACAUAGGAAUUAAAUUUCAUGUACCAUUGCCUACGGGCUUGUUUCAACCCAUAAAGCGAUUUUUUCAACAGACACACCUUUUCAGUUUUUUAUCUUACUCCAAACCCCAUGGGUUGCUUCAUAUAUAUAAUCUCAUCAAUGUCACCAUUUAGAAAUGCUGUUUUGACAUCAAGUUGUUCCGAUUCCCAAUUAAAAUGGGCAAUAAGAGCAAGUAGUAUUCUGAUUGAAGUAUAUUUUGCCACAGGUGAAAAUAUUUCAUUAUAAUUAAUCCCUUCUUUUUGAGUAAAACAUUUGGCCACUAAUCUGGCCUUAUAUCUUUUAUCUUCAGAAUUUAUAUCCCCUUGUUUAAUUUUGAAAAUCCAUUUACAAUCUGUUAUCUUAUGAUUUUUUGGUUUAUUAACAAGAAUCCAGGUUCUAUUUUUAAUAAGGAGUUCCAUUUCUUCAUUCAUAAUCUUUUUCCACAAAUCAGAAUCUGGAUGACUAAUAGUUUCAUCAUAAGUAGUAGGUUCAGAAUUUAAAGAAUCAAGGGCAGAAUAUAGAGUAACGAACUCAUCAUUGUUAAAUUUGGAAGAGGGAAUUAUUGUUCUCCUUUCUCCGUCUUUAGUUAACUGAUAGUCAUCUAGAGUAGGACCAGUAAUUUCGUUUUCAUUUUCAUAUUCAUCUUGCUCAUCAUUAUUAUCAGAUUGAGUGGACUCCACCUCAAUUUGAUCAUCUUGAUUAUCAGCAUUUUCAGUUUGACUUUGUAAAAUGGUUUUCCUUAUAGGUGCAUUUUUAGUAACUUUUUCAUCAGGUGAUUCUUUACAAGGCAUGUCUUCCUAAUUAAAAAUGACAUUUCCACUAAUAAUCACCUUAAAACCACUCUGACUAUUGACCCACAAUCUGUACCCUUUAGUUUCCUCCAUAGCCCAGAAAAACACAUUUUAAGGACCUUGGUUCAAGUUUGCCUUCACUUUGAUGUGAGUAGGCAGAACAGCCAAAAACUUUAAGUUUAUUGUAAUCAGGUGUAUGUCUAGACCACAAUUUCUCAGGGACUUGAAAAUCAAUAGCACUAGAUGAACUUCUAUCUAUUAGAUAGAUUGCUGUUUUUAUGGCUUUACCCCAGAUAAACUUUGGAAGACCAGAACUGUAUAACAUACAUUUCACCUUUUCCAAUAGAUAUCUAUUCAUUCUCUCAGCAACUCCAUUUUGCUGAGGAGUAUGUGUAAUAGUUCUAUGUCUUAGAAUACCAAAUUCUUUGCAAAAUGUGUCAAAUUCAUGGUUGCAAAAUUCAAGUCCAUUAUCAGUUCUUAGUGCUUUAAUUUUCUUAUUGGUUUGACUUUCAAUCAUGAGUUUCCAUUGUUUGAAGGUAUGAAAGGUAUCAGAUUUUUGUUUUAAUAAGAAAGUCCAGAUUUUUCUUGAAAAAUCAUCAACAAUGGGCAAGUAGUAUUUAAAUCCACUUAAAGUGCUUAUUGAUACUGGACCCCAAAGGUCAGCAUGUAAAUGUACCAGAAUUGAAGUGGAUUUAUGGACUUCUGUUUUGAAAGGUAAUCUUUUAUGUUUUCCUAGAAUACAGCUUUUACAAAAUUCCAACCCUCCAAUUUUAUCAUUUCCAAAACAACCUAGUCUUUUCAAAAUAGUCAGUCUCUUCUCAGAAAUAUGGCCAAAUCUUUUAUGCCAAAUUAAGGACUUAUUUGUUUAAGAGUUUAAGGCUGCACUACAAUAACUUGCAACAGGUUCUGCAAGAAUGGUAUAUAUACCAUUUGUUUUUGGGGAGGAUAACACACCUUUAUUUCCUUGUUGCAGUUUUAAGAGGCCUUUAUUAGUCAUAAUGCUGUAUUUAUCAUCAAGCUCCCCCAAGGAAAUAAGGUUUCUUUUAAGUUCAGGCACAUAUUUGGUGUUCUGUAAUUCAAGUAUAUAGUUAUUCUCUAACUUCAACUCAUCCUUCCCAAUACCCUUUAUUUGACAACUCAUAUCAUUUUCCAUCCGAAUUUACCCUCCACUAAGUUCAGAAAAUUCAGAAAAACAUUCUCUUUUGGGACACAUGUGAAAUGUACAUCCAAAAUCCAGAACCCACUUUUUUGGGUCUCCAGUGGUGGUGCUAACAAGAACUACACCCUGAAUGUUAGGUUCAUUUCUACAAACAACAGUUGCAGAACCAUCAGGAUUGUUUCUUUCUUUCGUAUCAAAAAUUUUCUUAAAACAGUUUUUUAUAACAUGUUCAGUCUUCCCACAGUAAUAACACUUUCUAAUAUGAUUCUUUUUCUUCACAUGAUUUUUAUUCUUUUCUUUGGGUUUGGGAUUUGGAGAUUUCCAAUUCUUAUGGAAAUUGGAGCUAUGUUGAUUUUGUUUCUUGAUUUGAUUCACCCUUUCUUUUAUGUGCAACCCUUCACCAUACUUAAAAUCUUUUGAUUCAACAUUUAGUUCAAGUUCUCUAUUUCUUAAGACUACAGUUAUCUUAUCUAUGGUGAGUCCUUGGCCCUCAUAUUCCAGAGAAUUUCUGAUGUCUUUAUACUUAUCACUUAGAGAGUUUAAUAGAGCAACAACUUGUUGAUCAUCAGAAAUUUCCUCAUCACACUUAUCUAAGUUCUGAAUCAAUUUAUUAAAUCUGUCAAGGUGUUCUUUCAAAUUGGAUGAGGGGUCAAAUCUAAAGUUAUAGAAUUGCCUUAGAAGAUAACAUUUAUUAGGCAUGGUUUUGGUGAGAUACAAUGUUUCUAGUUUAGUCCAUAAUGCAGUAGCAGAGAUGGUUUUACCUACUUUUCUAAUGACACUGUCAGAUAAGUGCAAGAAAAUUGUACUCCAUGCAAUAUCAUCUAAUUCUUAUCUCUUAUAAGCACUUAUUUAUGCAGCCCAUUGACCAUCAAGGGCUGCAGCACAUGUUUGUUGUAAAAGUAAUGUCCUCAUCUUCUGGCGCCAGAGAUUGAAGUCUCCAGUGCCAUUCCAAGUUUCAAGUUCAAAUUUAUGAGUAGUGGACAUAAUGACAGAUACAAGCACAUAGCUGUUAUCAUACAAUACUCAGAGUAUAAUGAUUCAAGCAAGUUAUUAUACUUAGGAAAAAUGAACAGAUAAUAAGGCAGGAUAUAAUAGAAUUUAUGCCUACUAAUUAUACAGUUCAUGUAGUCAAUAUAUGAUGUUUCGAGAAAGGUUUAAGGACUGUUAAUCCUUAAUUCCACUACUCCCUCAGAUUCCCAGAUUCUCUCAAGAGAUCUUGGACAAAGGAAAGUAAUGGAGAAUUACUUACCUUAACAACCAAUCCCAAACACACCAAAAGAGUGAUAGUUUAUGAAGGGGGGUUUCAAGAAAAAAUACCAAAGCCUGAAACUCGACAGUUUCAGAUUAAGGGAAGCACCAAGAAUAUGCUAGAUACGGAUCAAGUUUAGGAAUGCAGGUUCAAGAAACCAACGAGUCACCAAGACUCAGUAGUGACUUAGCAAGAAAGUGAAGAACUCAGUACAACACGAGGUGAGUUAGCACAACUCGUCAAACUCAGCACGAGUUGCCAUGUCAAAGGUAGAAGAAAAGUCAAUAACUCAAAAGAAGCUUCAGAAACUUAGUAAAAACAGUAAAUCGGAACGAGUUCAAAAUCGAGUUAUAAGAGUUUCAAAGAAAGCAGUUUAUGUUUUUUAAAAAUAACUUCGAUUUGUACCAAAAAAAAUUUAUUCUUGAAAAAAUAUAUUCGAAAUUUUUAAGAUCUGCAAUAAACAAAAAAAUUUCAGAAACAAAAAAAAAAUUCCACACAAUAACUCGCUUUGAUACCACUUGUAAAGGUGCAGAUCGAAUUAUUUUGUGGCUUUGUCGACUUAAAAAUAAAUUGCAGAAACAAUAAAAGAACAACACGAUAUUUUUCGCCCCAAAGAGGGGCUCGAAUGUUCAGCCUUUCGACCUAAUCAGCCGUUGAGCAUCUAUAGACAGAUAUAGCUCAAGAUCCACUAAGAAGAACCAAGAAAAUGUUACAACAUGUACGAAGAAAUAGAAAUUUUCUUUGAUAUAUCGUUCUAGCCUCUUUACUAUAGGAAAUCACCAAGAUCAGCCUCUACAAUGAAAGCACUCAACUCUCAUUUACACGACCUACAAAAGAUUCCCCGCUAAGAUGAAUUUUUGGAUUUACAGAGAAAGAAAUCAGCAAACCCUAACUACACUUCGAGAAAGGGAAAAGGCAGAGAGAGCGAGUCAUGAAGCAUCUAGAGAAUGAUGGGCCAAACCAAGUUAAAUAUGUGGUCAACAAAGAGUCAGGAUAUAAGGAAUGAGUAUGAGCCACGUGUACGGCUAAUACUUAAUCCUUAAGAGGCAGAUAAAAAAACGUGUUUGCAUAAGGACCUUUUCUUUAAAAUCUUCAACAAUUGAAAACUAAUAAGCCCAAAUAUAGAUGACCCGGUCCAUGCUAAAAAAUAUGGGCCAAAAAUUGUGAGACAGCCCCAAAUUCAGUUUAACAGCCUCCCUGACCAAUUGCUUGUUUCAUGGUUCAAACAGCUGGCCACUUCAGUUUGGUUCUUGUUACUAGCAGCCUGCAUGUCCAAUUUUGGUUCUUUGUGAGCAAGCAGCCUAGUUUUAUUGGAGGAAAGAGGGGUUUACUAACUUGGAUUAACACUAAUAGGAAGAAAAAAGUGAACAAAAUGAAACUUGUAUUUCUCAACUCCAAAACUUAAACACUUGGCUUCGUACAAAAUGGAGGACCCCACCCCUUUAUAUAGUGUUUACAUGAAACUUCUAGUCCAUACAAUUUUCUAGAGAAUCCUAAACCACAUAUUUACAUGAGACUUUUAGACCACACAUUUGGACAAGUUAUUUUUCUAAAAUACUCUAGAUAGACUUUAUAAGACCCCAUAAUCUGCUUGAGACAUUACCACAUUUAUCACCACAUAUUUUACUUAGAUAUUUAUAUAUUAUUUUCUAGACAAUGUUUCUAGAAAUUAUAGGCAUGUUGGGCUUUUAAUUGAUUUGGGCCUAUGAACAAAAUCAUUAAACUCAUAUUAUUUUGUCUAAAAAUCAAGUUUACUAAAAAGGUUUGGCAUUUUGGUGCUUCUUGGAGUUAGGUUUUAAAUUUCAUUCAACUUUGGCAAGAUUCAGAUUUUAAGUUGUUCGUUUCCAGCUUCAGUUCAUGUCUCACUAGAAUCAUCGAAAUUUGCUUACAGUUCUACUUGGUUUGGUUGAAUUUCUUGGGUGUUUCCAGGUUUUCAUCUGCUAUUAAAGACUCACAUCCUUGAUUUGCUAUUUUUUACUUGACGGGGCAAUAAAUUUAAACUUUUGAAAGUUGAAACUGCACUGCAGUAAGGCAGCUUUGUUCACUGCUUUUGUAGUAUCUAGUUACCGAAUUUAGCAAAAAAAAUUGUUUAGUCUAAAUUCAAAAACUUUCUCAAAUUGUUCUUUGAAUUUUUUAGCCUGUCCUUUUGCCUGUCCACCCAUGACAUCAACCUGCUAGAUCAAACCUGCAAUUGGGAAAGAAGGAAUGUAUUUGGUUGAUGGUCUACCCCCAGUGAAUUCAAUUAACACUUAAUAACAUUCAAUCAGCCAGCCAACAGCAUCUUGCCAAAAAUAUAUAUAUGGUUUUUCACAAUUCUUUAAUCUAUUACCCAAAUAAAGUAUUACAAUUUACAAUCAUUUUUUUUUUUUAGUUUGAGGUCAAACAUAGUAUCACUAAAAAUGCACAUAUUCCUUCUCAACUUCUACUUUGAUCAUGGAAACCACAGAAACCAUGUCAUCUAAUGUUUGAGACUUUUAGUAUGACCACCCCAUAGUAAAUUCUGGCUCCACCAUCCUAGACUACAGUUUUCUGAGGUAGAAAUCUCGACUUGGCAAUAAAUGGUCCAAUGAAUACUUCAAACAGAUGCGGAAUAAAAAAAAAAUGCCACAUAGGAAACUGCAUACCUUGUGUCUGAAACAGAAACAUGUAUAAUAUACAAAUAUGAAGCUUCAAAUUUUCCCGUUUGUGUUCCUGAAGUGAGAUGUCAAAGUCAGGUUUCCAUCCAGUGCAAGAGAGACACAAAGGUGAAAUUCAUAACUGAUAAAGCAGAAAAAUUCUUGUUAAAUGCAGAACAUCGAGCUUUAAAAAUCUUAAAUAUUUUGACAGGCAAGGGUGGAUCCAAACAAUUCGAACUGUGAGGUCAAAUUAUUUUUCAAACAACGUAUCAUGAAAAAAAAAGAAAAAUCGAUUGUUUGUUGUUCAUAUUUGGUGUUUGCACUUUGGGAAGAAAUCGGUGGAUUAUAUGAUAUAUCUACGGACUAAAUAAUGGAUAUGGAACAUGUGAUAUGGAUAUAGAUUUAAAAUUUGGACCUUUUGGGGCAGAAAAUUAAGUUUUCAGCAAACACACACACAAAAAAAAAAAAAAAAAAUUCCAGAAAGCUGUGGGGUCAUUUGACCCCACAUGACCCCAAGUGGGUCUGUCCCUGUUGACAGAUACUUGUCAAUAAAAUAUUCGAUAAAUUGAAGGAGACUUUUCAAGAGAAAUUGAAUGUGCAAUCAAUCAACUUUUCGAUUUCAAAUAUACACAUAUUUUCUACUUUUUUAUGAAACAGUUAAAACGUAUAAUGCAACCAAGUGUAACAAACUCAAUUUUCAAAUCCAUCGAACAAAGAAUUUAAGUCUUCUACUUAUCAAACAAACCAGUAAUUUCAAGAAGUCAAUUUCCAUGAAUCCACUCUAUCAUCCAUCAUGCUAAAUAUUUAGUAAAAAAUAUAAAAUAAUUAAGUAUUUAAAACUCAACUCAAGAUUUCACUUAUUAGAAAAGGACAGACCUCCAAACUGACCCAACUUGACCAAAGAGACGACAUGAAAGCCCAUGAACAUAUAUGUACAUGUAUUUGUAUGUAUGUGUCUGAAUUUUGAAUAUACACUUUUAAUGAAAAAAUGUUCCACCUCCCUAACAUCUCAACCUUUUCGAUGAGGUGGUUCUAUAUACUGGGGUUUAACUCUCACUCUCACCAAUGUAUAAAAAUUCUGAACUUGUCCAAUUCACGUGAGUGCGCAUGUUGAAGACAUCAUUAACUAAAUAAAUAUACAACAAGCUUUUAAAUCACGUGUUUCAACAUACACAUACACAUGCAUAACUGCAAGCUGAAUCUGCAAUUUUUGACAAAGCGUGGAGGUGCAGCCACAAAAAAAUUACACUUCAUAGCAUAGUUUCUACAUUCCAGAGUAAUUAAAAAGAAGCGGAAUCUUAAAGCUCCAUGGCAUACGAGUCCAUCCCCAUGAGGCCAGUACUUCAGAUCUUCUUCGGCUGGUUUAAGUAGUAAGUCAAUGAAUGAGUUGCCAUGUCAAUCAUUUGGGGUGAAAAGGUGGAGGAUUGUCUUCAACUGUCCAAAUAUUUUUUGUUCUUUGCAAAUCCAUUUUCUCGGGUGAAAAAACAUUUUUUCAAAUUGAAGCAUCUCUAAUAUACAUCAACAAAAUUUGAAUUAUUAGUAGAAUAUUUUAAAUUGUAAUGAAAUAAUCAAUCUCGUACUGGGGGGAAAACAGAUAGAGACUCCUCCACACAUUGCCUUCAGAGGCUUAAAGUUUAAAGAGUGAGGAUCAAUAUAAAGGAUUUCGUUUCCAAAAAUAAGAAGGCAAAUGAAGAAUUCUCCACAAAUAAUAGCCGACAUAUAUACAAAACAUGCAAAGGACAUGAGUUUCUAACUUUACCAAAAUUAAAACAUGCAGAGGAUUAAAUUGUACACAACACUAUUAAUAAAGAAAUUUAAAAUAUUGUGUAUUUUAUUGUUGUUCAUUAUCUAGUAUGCAUACCAAACAAGCACUUAUCAAUUUGUCUAUCUAGUAGUAUGCACCAAAUAUGCACGAAGCGAGUCUUGCAUAUCUUAAAAGGCAAUUUUCUAGAGCGCCUCAAACCGUGACUUUAGUUCAAUGCCUGAAGGAGCUAUUUUUAAAGCAUUUAUAAUGUGGCACACGCCUCAAGGCACGCAAGAUGGGCACUUAGUAUUGCUGUCGAAGUACAAGUUUAAAAAGGCAAUUUUUAGGAGCACCUCAAAUCAAGGCGUUAGGUCACGCCUUAAGGCACUAAUUUUAAAGCUUUUAUAUUAGGCCCCGUUUGGUACCUAUUUUUGUAAGAAUGAAAAUGAAAAAUAUAGCCGUUACAGAACUCAUACAAGAGAUAGAAAGUCAUACAUAGUGAUUUGAUGUGAUGGAUAACGGUCAUAUUUUUUCAUUUUUAUAGUCAAAGAAUGGAAAUCAAAUGGGGCUAAGGAAAAUGCCUCAAUACACGUGAGACGUGCGAUUAGAAUUGCCGUCAAUUUAUUUUUUAUUUUUUUUGGUCCAAAAUAGGGUUAAAUGGUUAUUCUAACAAUGGAAAGUAGAUUUUUAAGCGCACCCAAUACGACCUUUUUCUUGUUUACAAUAAAAAAGCUUCUUCAAUCUUGCUGCUUCCUGCCUUGACUCGAUCCCAAGGUAGAAACAAGAUCUUUCCCACUCCAAGAUCCUGGCAACUAGAGGUGUAUAUCAAACUCCAACAUGCAAACUUUUGGUUUUACCUUUUUAUUUUAUUUUUCUGCAGUUCGUCUUAUUUUUGGUUUUCAUUUUUAAAAUUUGUUUUAUUUUAUAAUUUUUUGACUUAGGUUUUCAGUUCGUAGUGGUGAGGCCUCACAAAAGAAAAACGCAUCAGUCACAGCUUACACCUUUUUAGACAUUACCAAAAUAUAUAGGAUUUUGCCCCCUCAUAUUUGCACAGCACCACACUUCAUCUAUUAGUCAUGCACAAAAUCGCCUCGGAUUCUGAAAAUUUCUAGAAUUACAUUAGACACAUUGAAGACAGUAAAAAAAGGUAAUACACAAUGUUCAAAUAGAUUUAUUACUCCAAUCACUUACAUUUUCUAAUUGAAGAAUGCAUUGACUACCAAUUUUACUUUUUUGGUUACUCAUCAUAUUUUCAAUUUCUAACCACCGUUGAACAUUCUUCUUUAUUUAUGUAUUGUUUAAUUUCAUAAAUGAGUAUACGGUCACACAUUUGCUAUACAACUUUUCCUUCCAAACAUCUAUUUGCUUAUAAGGCAAUCCUGUCCAACUAAUAAGUGAGGAAUAGUCGAAGCCAAGAAAUCAUGAAGGCUCAACAUCGUUCAUUUUUGUGGUAACACACUGGAAUAAUAAGCAAAUGACAUUGCUUAAUUUACAUGUGUAGUUCAAGGCGUAAGAAAUAAAGCUUUAUGAUAAGUUGAAUUAUGUGCAAGCAUUGUGCACUCCACGUGCUACGAAAACAUACAAUGUGAUGUUUAGACUCUUCAAAAUAGGUGAAGUAUCCAAUUCAAAAAGACACGACAUGGGUACAGUACAAGAUAGGAUCCGGCUCAGAUACUUCAAUGUGAAGGUGAUGUGGCAUGAAAAUGGAAGUCAUGUAUGGAAGAGAAGUCAGAGGAAGAGAACCAGUAAAUGAUGCAGACAAAUGAAGCCAUAAUUGCAUUAGCUAAUAAUUGGUACAAAGUAUAAGAAGUGGCUUUUAAACAAACUUGGCCCGCAUUUUUUAAGUGCUAUUUUAAAAGAAACCGGGCCAUAUGUGUGCGUGUAUAAUUCAAUAGAUAAAAUUUAAUUUUUAUUUUUAGUCUACUCCAUCUUUUAUGCAGCAUACCAAACAUCCCAUCAAAGUUUAGAAUUUUAGGACAUCUUUUCUCAUUUUUAUUUGGAAUAAUGUGAUGCACAUUGUUAAGAAUCGAAGAAUGAGGUUAUAUGGCUCGAUAUGAAGUAUUGAUCACAACAAGAAGAAAACAAAAAACAAGAAUCUAAUUUGACAAAAUGAAUUGGAGAUUUUUAUUCAACUAUAAUGAAGAGAGAAAUUACAACAAUAUUGUGUUCCCACACUAAUUUAACUUGUAGUAAUAAAUUAACUAGUAAAGAAGAGUACUAUUUAUAGGGGUAUGUGUCAAAUCUUAAUAAUAGCCCUAAAGAUGGAAAUUAGGUCAAAAAACGUGUGGAAUAAACAAAAUAAGAAAAACCCGGACAACAGAGCGCCGCUCAAGCGCCAAUUGAGUGGUAGGCGGGAGGCACAUGUCCUAUUAAAAAUUUCGUCUUGUUGCUUGAGCGUCCGGCUAACGAUAGACUAGCGCCAUCAAUCCAUUUUUCCUUCACAGAAAUUAUUUAGACGUCUUCAAGGUCCAAUACACUAAAUCACGCAACCCUAGAUGAAUUUGGAUCACAAAACCCAACACACAUAAUCACCAAAAUAUGAUACAAUCUUCGGCAAGUGAUGUUCGGGACUUAUAGUAUGACCACCCAACAGCAAAUCCUGGCUCCACAAUCCUAGACUAUGAAUUUUAGAAAUAGAAAUCUCGAGUUGGCAAUAUAUGGUCAAAUGAAAAUCUCAUACAGAUGCAGGAUCACAAAAAUGCUGCAUAGGAGACUGUGUACCUUAUGUCUGAAACAGACAAAUACUUAUGAGCAUAUCAUAUGAAGCUGAAAGGUUUCCAUUUGAUGUUCCAUAAGUGAGAUGUCAGCCAGCCUUUCAAGAGAGACACCAAGGCGGAAUUCAAAACUGAUAAAAGAAGAACAACUCUUGGAAGAUGCAGAAUACGAAGCUUCAAAAUAAAUAAAUAAAUGAAUUAGUAUUUUGACAGAAACUUAUCAAUAAAAUAUUCAACAAAUUGAAGGAGACUUUCAAGCAAAUUGGAUGUGGAACCAAUCAAUUUUUCGGUUACAAAUUUACAUUUUUUUUUCGAGCUUUCUUAUGAAACAAUUACAACAUAUCUUGGAACCAAGAGUAACGAACUUAUUUUUCAUAUCGAUUGAACAAAGAAUCAAAGUUCUCUACUUACCAAUGAAACCACUAAUUCAAGAAAUCAAUUUUGAACAAUUCUAUUCUAUUAUCCAUCAUGCUAAAUAGUUAAUUAAAAAUACAAAAUAAUUAUUUGAAACACCACGACUCAAGAUUUCCCUUAUUAGUAAAAGACAACAGCAGCAGACCUCAGAACUUGACCGAAUAGACGACACGAAAGCCUUACACACACGUGUAUUUGUGUGCCUUUGUCUCUUUGUGUGUGUGUGUGUGUGCAUUUUAAGACUGUUAAUCAAAGAAGUCAUUCACGAUUAAACCAAAAUUUACUCAAACCAUUCAAAAUUGAAUUUUAAAUGCAGAAAGUAAAGUGUAAACACAAGGAUUUUUCGGCCGAAGCCCCAGAGGUUCAGCUUAAAGCCUAAUCCCCUGUUGAGCAUCCAUUAUAAAAUGGAUCUAGCUCGGUUGCACUAAAAACUCAAAAUAUGGAAGUCAAAAUACAGAAGUACAGAUCACAAGAUAGUCACAGAGACUUAUCUUUCUACACGAAGAUGAUUGAACUAUGCUUCUCACAAGAAUCACUCAGAUCACUUAGAUCUGUUACAAAGCACUACUGAACUCAAGAAUCACUCAGAUUCUAAUCACUAAUUACCGAACUCAAGAAUCACUCAGAUUCUUGUCACUAAUCACUCAGAAAAGUUAAGCAUUCAUACAAUCAGUAGUAUUACAGUGAGAUUACUGUAUUUUCUCACUAUUAUCUCUCAAGAAACCAUAUCACAGAAGAGAAAACACGAAGAGUUUUCAAAGGGAGCGUAUGAACUCAAACCGGCAGAGAGAAAACCCUAGAAGAAAAAUGACGAUUCAGCCGAGUGAAAUGAGUCCAACCAGAGUAAAUAAUAUCAGAAGCAUCCAAAAGCCUGAUCCAACGGCCACCAUCAUCACACGUGUCAUGAUCCAGUAUAAUGUUGUUAUUUAAAAAUGAAAGAAGUGUCAAACUUAUUAAACACGAUUUCAGCUUUAAAACUGUGGAAGCAAUAUGACCAAAGGUCCAGGGUUCAAACCCAACAAUCUCCACCUUGCUUCCAACAGUUUUGAGUAUAGUGCAACCAGGAGCUUAACCAACAUUUUACAAUUUCAUUUGCUCUAGUUCCUGCACAGUUAGUGAAAAGAAUCAAUAGAUAAUAUCUUUAAACAGUUCUGAAACUUAUUUAAAGGUAUUACUUUUGUUCCCAUAUUAGAUGGAUUAUGUAAAGUAGCAACGUUUGCAAUAUUUAACAAUCCUUUUGAUAUUACAUCUCUUAUAAAAUGAUAUUUAACAUCUAUAUGCUUAGUUCUAUCAUGAAACAUGGGAUUUUUACUCAAAUGUAUUGCACUNAAGCAUGUACAAUUUCAGUUCAUGAAUAUUAAAGUAAAGUUUGUUAUGUUCAACAAAGUUUUCAUAAAAGGAUUUCGUUAAGUUUCUCAUGAUUCCUCGGCAGUACAGAUAGAGAUUUUAAAAGAUUUUCAAAACUUUGAUUUUGAAUGGAUGUUAGCCAUGCCAAAGUACCCGUAUUUGAUGAAUGGUUAGGGGAAAAAGCAGUUUUUUAACAAAAAUUUGUAGCACCUCGAGUGUGAGUUAUCUUUUAAAAUUUCGUUCCAAGUAGGAAUUUGAUUCUGAAAAGAGUUUGGAUAGAGGUGAAAACAGAGACUCUGGAUACUGUGAGAUAGCGUCUGUGGAAACACGGCUAGUUCUCUAGAAUGAGAAAUGCAACCUUAAUUGAAAAGCCUUUUGCGGAAGCAGUUGUGGACCCAAAAUAAUUUCAAAAGACAUUUUAAAUCUUUACUUGAUUCAGAAGAUUGAUUAAGUACAUGCAAAGUAUCUAUAAGAGCAUACUGGAGGGAAAGCCUGUUUAUUUCCAAUUGAUUACUGUAAGUUAUUUACUUAUUUUUACAUGCUUAUGUUUUAAUUAUCUACAUGAACAAUUCACAAGCAUCCACUUCAAAUAUUAAUGAUGAUAAUAAUCUUAUUUUAAUAUUAGAUGAAAAAGAUGUUUCGUUCUUACUUAAAUUAGAUAAAAAAUCUGAUGAUAUAUUUCCUGUUGGUAAAGAAAAAAUAGAAGAAAUAUACAGAGAUAUAGAUUAUAAUUGUAGAAAUAAUAUAGGAUUUGAUCCUGUAGGAACUAGCAGAGAAAUAAGAAAAGUAGAAGAUAUUAUAACUAAACAUACGGAUAUACAAGAAAAAAUCUCAGAAGGAUUAUUUAAAGGAUAUAUAAUCAAGAAAGGUCAACCUAUAAUCUUUAAAGAACUAUUAAAAUAUAAAGAAUAUUUAAAAGUGUUCAAAAGAUUGAAAAAUAUAGAUAUAGGACCUGACUGAUAAAUCCUUAAAAAUAUAAGAUAAAUCUUGCAAAUAAUUUCAUUAAGGGCAAAAUAGUACUUUUAAUAGGAAAGGCUAUUGUGGAAAAUAGGAAGAAUUUUCCAGCUAUUCUCAAAGUUAUCCCCUUAAACUGUUAUACAGGGCCACAUGUAUCUUAUUUAAUAUUGUCUUCAACAAGUGCAAUAAACAAAAUACUACUUACUUUACCAGAAUGAAAACAUAGGUGACAUUGUUAAUAUAUUUUCGGGUGAAAACAAGUUGUGGAAGUAUCAAUAAUCUAUACUCGGCUAGAGACAUUAUCAAGCCAGUACUACAAGUAACAAGAAAAUUCAUAAAGUCACAUGCAGCAAAUAUGGUUGUAAUGCAUUACUGAUUGCUGAACAAUGAAUCUCCACAGUGAGGCAGUGAUUUUCAGUUUUCUUGAGAUCAUCAGUUGUAGAAAGAAGCAGAAAACUCAAACCACAAGAAAGCAUUGGCACAAAAAAAUUGCUCUAACUUUUAUGGCAUGUUUAGCAAUUUUGGACAGUAUAAUGAAGAAAAUGAAAGUACGAUGACGGACACAUUUGAGCAAGUACUUAAAUUAUAGUAGAAGGGAAAAUAAGGGGAGAAGAGAAGAGUAAGAAGGGGAGAUAUAAAAUUGGGAAAAGGAGGGGGCGGGGGGGGGGGGCUCAAAAGUACUAACCCUCAUUAUUUUAGGUUGAACAAAGCAUAAAAAAGGUAGGAAACUCAAAUAAUUGUCUGAUGCUAAAAUAAACUGAAAAACAAUUAAUAUAAACUUGCAAAUCUCCAAUAUUAUUUCUAAUAAGAUUUCCUUUAAAAUAUCUUAUCCACUAUAUUGUGUAGUGAUAUCCAAUAGUUCGUACAAAAUAUGCACAGAGUGAUUCAUUUUUUUAAGUAAAGAGAGAAAACAACGAGUAUACAAAAAUAAGUAUUCACACUUGUAAGAUACUUAAGUUUUCCAUUAAGAUACCAUUCCAACUACCAUAUAUACUUAUAGCUGCUAUCCACAAGUUUUCAUGCGGAGAAUGGUUACGCCUAUUUUCCACACCAGGAGAAAAUCUAAUAUUGACCAUAAAGCUUAUUUAAUUUAUCCCAAUGACAAAGUUGUGCACAUCUAAAUCUCAACUAUAAAAUAUAUCAAGCAAGUGCAAUAAUAAUCAAUGUUAUUAAAAUCCGUGGUUGUCCAAAUUUCCAGAUAUACAACAUACUUUAUUUAGAUAUACUAUUUGUUUCGCCUUUCCCUCGUUCAACAGUUGCACAUAAGAAAUCUCCUACCCCAACCCUGAAAAAAAAAAAAAAAAAUCAUACCUUUUCGAUGGUUAUAGUAAUUAUUUCUUUUGAUUAUAUGUCAAACCUCAAUUAAUAUCCAAGAAAUCUAACAAUCAACAUUAAACAAAACAAAAGAGGUCGUCGCUGUCAAAAUGGAAAAUCCCACCUUAUGCUUGUGGAAUAGAUGCACUUCACCCCUAUCAUUCCCCACGAGAUAGCUUGCUCUCUGAGCAAAAUAAUCUAGAUCAUUAUUCAAUAAUUCAAUUUAAACAACUCAAUAUCAUACCAUUUGCUGAAAUUCUCAAAGAAACCAGAGGAAAUCAUAAUGGCAACUUAAUACAUGCAAAACAUUACAUAGAUAGGAUAAAUCGUGGGAUCUUACUCAAAUUAUUGCCCCUUGAGGUUUUUGAAGAUUUCAAGUUUUUCUUGGAGGUUCAAAAGUCGACCAGCAAUGUUUGGCAGGUUCUUGGGAAAAUUUAAAUUGUUAUUUUUGAUGAAUCUCAAAUUUCUUGAAGGUUGAAGAACAGCCAGCAACAUAUUUUCUUGAAGUUUCGGGCAGAUUCAAAAGGAUUGUAAACCGGCAAGAAAAGGUGUUGCAAUGUCCUUUAAGGCAGACUCAAGGCAGCUUCUUGGUUCAAUCAAGUGCCAGCAGGUUGCUUUCUUGCAAUGGUUGAGCUGCU